This 2990-nucleotide ribosomal RNA is filed under the name Triticum aestivum (bread wheat). RNAcentral describes it as "partial small subunit ribosomal RNA". The record is from RNAcentral. Lineage: Eukaryota; Viridiplantae; Streptophyta; Magnoliopsida; Poales; Poaceae.
UCCUUCAAACGAAAGGCAAGGCACACACCCGAACUCGCCAUUAACUUACCCAGUAGGCCAUGGAAGCUGUCGUGUGUCAACUGGAUUGAAACCCUCGAGAGCGUCUAAGGCCGCCGCUGCCGCCGUCGUCGCUGGUCGUACCGUCGUAGGUGAAAGGAACUCCUCCAGCCACUCACAAACCACGGGCGGGGCCACCACCGCCUCGGGUAUCGCCAGCUAUGCCAUCACCUCGAACUCCACCGCAGCGUUUUCUACGACCUAGUCCGCGUUGGCCUCGGCCUCCCAGGCCGAAAGUGUCGCUUCCGUGUUUAGAACGGCCCGUCACUUCGCCGCCGCCUCUCCUUUCUGUCAAGAGGUGGGUCAAGCCUCGACAGUUGACCCUUCUACUUGGGGGCUCGCGGACCUACCUUAUUCUCCAACUCCUGGCAACGACGUUGAGGUUCGGCGGGUGGAACGGGUUUGGCGUGGUCACGUAAACUCUUCCGGCAAGCAUCGAUACGGCUUUUGGGUUGACUCUUACAUUAUUGGGGUUGACAGCCGUGUAGCAAGCUGAGCCAACCCCUCCGUAUGCUGAAAAUGUUAAACAUAAGUACCCUUUUCCCGAAACCAUAAGCUAUGCCAUUCUCGGCUGACUUACAACUCUCCUGCUUCACGUACGUCCUUUAUCAGACACCAACGAGCCCCUUUCGACCACACCUCUUGUGUUCCAGUACAGCAACGCUUACGGGACGAGACUAUUACCGACCUGGUUACGUAGUCUCCGUUCACCGUUUACGUUGCUGACGACACAGCUCCGUUUACGGUAACUACGUCCAGGGGGCCCGAAGCCCGCAUCGUGCCGGUGUAGAUAACCACACGUUGUCUGUCUUCCUCUACUUUUACUUUACCCCUUAUAGAACGUUCUCUAGUGUCUUUACCUUCGAUGAUGAUAUCUACCCCCCUCUUCUGUACAUUAAAGUAGCACGUUUUUAUAUUGCUAACCGUACCUCACACGAUCUCGGUCCUUACAGUGACACUUUGUACUCUUGCUACUCCUAUCGACAUCUGUCGGAGCACACGAUCUGUAACUGCCCCUCACACGCUCCUUCGAGGUCUUUCUCGACCUGCUCCUUAAACCGUUUACUACUAGUCCAACGUACAUACAUAGUCUUCUACAUACUGGUCUUACGGUGACUGCUCGUUUAGUCCCACCGCUGGUGUGUAGUACCAGUCCCUUGUCCCCGUCCACCAGUAUCUCGUAGUCUGCACCCUCAAGUCUGCUCCAACCUGCUAAAAAAGGUGACAGCCUGACCAGACCGGUCUGUUACUUGGUGACUUCCUGCCUCUACACAGUAAGCCUUCUUUGCAUUCACGUCGUUCUUUAGUUCUUUCCCCUCCCGAUUUGUUGCUCCAAGAGUUUAUAACAAGUCUGUUAGACAGGUUGUCUUUCGAGACUUAGUCUACUGUCGUCGUGUCUACUGCCCUUGUAACGAAUGAUGUAUCUCAACGGUUGUAGCUCUGCUUUAUGAUACGGUCACUCCACACCCACCCACCGUCGUCUACACCCCGCUCAACGACGCGGACGACGUCUCCAGCGUUUACAAAGGCAUCAGUUAUUAGGACCAGUUAUUAUUAGGACUACGCACCUUAAACCGCGGGCUUUGUCCGCUUCGAACGUCUUUACUAUCUAGUCCAAGACAGUCAUCGUUUCUUUAAGUUUGUUACACUUUAAAGUGAACACCUUGCUCCGUUUGAACUAAUGCACUACUUUAAUCGUUCUCUAAGCUAUGAGAGAGUCUAACGGUUUCGUCAACGACACUUACGAUCGUUCCUCUUUUCUCUCUGGACGCGGUAGACGGACCUUCUGUGGCUACAAAGAUUUUAAGUACACCAGCUUCCGACACGUGUAGCGAAAACAAAGACGACGUACUUCCUCGUACACUUUCAAUUCGAUGAGGUACCUUGAGAUGGUCGAACGGGUGUUCUACCAACGUGAUGUUUCGAUUGGCACCUCCCAAGUUUCUAUAAGGAUAGCGGAGCUGACAAUCUAUAGUACCACGUUGCCUAGUCCCUUCCUGUCUAGGGACGAUGAGUUUUCUAAAUGACGGGCAUGGGGUUCACAAGUCGGAACUACAGGAACUCACUUUACUUUGUGGGUAACGUUCUUAGAAGGAGUUUCAUGUGGUAACGACUACGACGGUGUAACUCCUUCACACAGUUUACGUCUCCGAGUAAGACGUAGUCGACAUUCCAGGGUACCGUACUGUCCUACAGAACAAUGCUGAUGUUCUCAUCCAUGGGGGUUCGAGCAGGUCUACUACGCUUCAAUGUCUUGGAACGUGCCGUCGUCGACACCGCGGUUACACAGUUUACGUUCGUGUACUAACUUGAGAGUCUCCCGACGACGGUAUACUGGACACAUACGCCGAUACUUAAGACGAUGUGGACACCCUUUCUUACCUUCCUGUUCUUUCGCUGGACGAGGACGGGCGACACCCUACUUCUAUUGUAAUAGGCACUACCGUACCUCCUCCUCCUACUGCUGCUGAUACUGAUACUGAUACUGAUACUGAUACUGAUACUGAUACUGAUACUCCUACUCCUACUCCUACUACUACUAAUGUUACUAAUGAUACGAUCUCUUCCCGUUGUGAUACUGUCCGUAUUACGACCGGUGGUUGUACCACCUCCUCGCUCCUUAAAAAUACUGAUGUUGUUAUUAGGGCCCGUAGUAGGAGUGGUACCGCCACCUCCCCGUGCUUUAAAGAUGUUGAUGUUAAUCAGAUAAACGUCGAUGUUGACUAUAAACGCAAACGCAAAUCACAGAUUGGUCAACUGACGACUACCAUGAUAGGCAAUCCGGGUGUACUUGAGUCCGUUCCGUUUAAUACUCACUUGCAACCAAAAACGAGUACCGUAUACAAGAACUAGACUAUAAUUAGUCGUCACCAUAAAAGAAAACACUAUUACUAUGAGAGAUCCUAUCAUACGUGUACGAAGAGUCUUGUCUC